GUGAGGAAUAUUGGUCAAUGGGCGCAAGCCUGAUCCAGCCAUGCCGCGUGCAGGAAGACGCAUCUAUGGUGUGUAAACUGCUUUUGUACGGGAAGAAACACUCCCUCGUGAGGGAGCUUGACGGUACCGUAAGAAUAAGGAUCGGCUAACUCCGUGCCAGCAGCCGCGGUAAUACGGAGGAUCCAAGCGUUAUCCGGAAUCAUUGGGUUUAAAGGGUCCGUAGGCGGUUUAAUAAGUCAGUGGUGAAAGCCCAUCGCUCAACGAUGGAACGGCCAUUGAUACUGUUAGACUUGAAUUACAAGGAAGUAACUAGAAUAUGUAGUGUAGCGGUGAAAUGCUUAGAUAUUACAUGGAAUACCAAUUGCGAAGGCAGGUUACUACUUGUGGAUUGACGCUGAUGGACGAAAGCGUGGGGAGCGAACAGGAUUAGAUACCCGAGUAGUCC
This 445-nucleotide ribosomal RNA is filed under the name uncultured bacterium. Its description in RNAcentral is "partial 16S ribosomal RNA". It matches the Rfam family "Bacterial small subunit ribosomal RNA", at positions 354 to 796 of the family's 1533-position model. The record is from RNAcentral.